Molecule: ribosomal RNA, 522 nt
Filed under: Microbacterium oxydans
Lineage: Bacteria; Bacillati; Actinomycetota; Actinomycetes; Micrococcales; Microbacteriaceae
Description: bacterial SSU rRNA
Rfam family: Bacterial small subunit ribosomal RNA
Source: RNAcentral
GGAUCAGUGGCGAACGGGUGAGUAACACGUGAGCAACCUGCCCCUGACUCUGGGAUAAGCGCUGGAAACGGCGUCUAAUACUGGAUAUGUGACGUGACCGCAUGGUCUGCGUCUGGAAAGAAUUUCGGUUGGGGAUGGGCUCGCGGCCUAUCAGCUUGUUGGUGAGGUAAUGGCUCACCAAGGCGUCGACGGGUAGCCGGCCUGAGAGGGUGACCGGCCACACUGGGACUGAGACACGGCCCAGACUCCUACGGGAGGCAGCAGUGGGGAAUAUUGCACAAUGGGCGCAAGCCUGAUGCAGCAACGCCGCGUGAGGGAUGACGGCCUUCGGGUUGUAAACCUCUUUUAGCAGGGAAGAAGCGAAAGUGACGGUACCUGCAGAAAAAGCGCCGGCUAACUACGUGCCAGCAGCCGCGGUAAUACNUAGGGCGCAAGCGUUAUCCGGAAUUAUUGGGCGUAAAGAGCUCGUAAGCGGUUUGUCGCGUCUGCUGUGAAAUCCGGAGGCUCAACCUCCGGCCUGCA